Small nuclear RNA from Artibeus jamaicensis (Jamaican fruit-eating bat), 164 nucleotides. RefSeq annotates it as U1 spliceosomal RNA. The transcript has a single exon. The record is from RefSeq and is a predicted model, not a curated record. Lineage: Eukaryota; Metazoa; Chordata; Mammalia; Chiroptera; Phyllostomidae.
CUACUUACCUAGAAGGGGAGACACCAUGAUCAAGAAGGUGCAUUUCCCAUGGCGAGGCUCAACUACUGCACUCUGGAUGUGCUGACCCCUGCGACUUCCCCAAAUGUGGGAAACUCCACUGCAUAAUUUGUGCUAGUGGGGGGCUGCAUUCAUGCUCUUACCCU